AACGAACGCUGGCGGCAUGCCUAACACAUGCAAGUCGAACGAGACCUUCGGGUCUAGUGGCGCACGGGUGCGUAACGCGUGGGAACCUGCCCUUAGGUUCGGAAUAACUCCCCGACAGGGGUGCUAAUACCGGAUAAUGUCUUCGGACCAAAGAUUUAUCGCCUUUGGAUGGGCCCGCGUUGGAUUAGCUAGUUGGUAGGGUAAUAGCCUACCAAGGCGACGAUCCAUAGCUGGUCUGAGAGGAUGAUCAGCCACACUGGGACUGGGACACGGCCCAGACUCCUACGGGAGGCAGCAGUGGGGAAUAUUGGACAAUGGGCGAAAGCCUGAUCCAGCAAUGCCGCGUGAGUGAUGAAGGCCUUAGGGUUGUAAAGCUCUUUUACCCGGGAUGAUAAUGACAGUACCGGGAGAAUAAGCUCCGGCUAACUCCGUG
RNAcentral lists this ribosomal RNA (433 nucleotides) under uncultured bacterium. RNAcentral describes it as "partial 16S ribosomal RNA". It matches the Rfam family "Bacterial small subunit ribosomal RNA", at positions 29 to 507 of the family's 1533-position model. The record is from RNAcentral.